AAAAGUCAUGGCAUCAACUAUUCACUUGUGCUUCGCCUGUUUCGUCUUACCCGGAUACUCAUACAGAUUGCUUUUCAACUCCGAAUGAUCAACUAGAAGUUCACAGUAUGGAAUCAAAUGAUCAUGCAACUCGACAUAAUGUUUCCAAUGAGAACCAAAUUACGCAAAUGUUGGCUUUGACUUCAUCAGGUGGUUUGUGUGAUAGCAAUUUAACUGCUCAUACUACGGCCGAAUCCAUGUAUCCUUCUCUCGUUGCAGAAUCAGGGCG
RNAcentral lists this unclassified non-coding RNA (268 nucleotides) under Hevea brasiliensis (rubber tree). Lineage: Eukaryota; Viridiplantae; Streptophyta; Magnoliopsida; Malpighiales; Euphorbiaceae. The record is from RNAcentral.